This 301-nucleotide ribosomal RNA is filed under the name uncultured bacterium. RNAcentral's name for it is "partial 16S ribosomal RNA". It matches the Rfam family "Bacterial small subunit ribosomal RNA", at positions 509 to 807 of the family's 1533-position model. The record is from RNAcentral.
CAGCAGCCGCGGGAAUACGGAGGGUGCAAGCGUUAAUCGGAAUUACUGGGCGUAAAGCGCACGCAGGCGGUUUGUUAAGUCAGAUGUGAAAUCCCCGGGCUCAACCUGGGAACUGCAUUUGAAACUGGCAAGCUAGAGUCUCGUAGAGGGGGGUAGAAUUCCAGGUGUAGCGGUGAAAUGCGUAGAGAUCUGGAGGAAUACCGGUGGCGAAGGCGGCCCCCUGGACGAAGACUGACGCUCAGGUGCGAAAGCGUGGGGAGCAAACAGGAUUAGAUACCCGAGUAGUCCCUGUCUCUUAUAC